GGCGAACGGGUGAGUAACACGUAGGUACUUUUUUCAAGUCUAGGAUAUCCCACCGAAAGGUGGUGCAAUACUUGAUGUGGUCGCAAGACUAAAGCAGCAAUGCGCUUGAAAUGAGGCCUGUGGACCAUCAGCUAGUUGGUAAGGUAACGGCUUACCAAGGCUAUGACGGUUAGCGGAUCUGAGAGGAUGACCCGCCACACUGGGACUGCGACACGGCCCAG
Molecule: ribosomal RNA, 221 nt
Filed under: uncultured bacterium
Lineage: Bacteria
Description: partial 16S ribosomal RNA
Rfam family: Bacterial small subunit ribosomal RNA
Source: RNAcentral